Molecule: long non-coding RNA, 704 nt
Filed under: Homo sapiens (human)
Lineage: Eukaryota; Metazoa; Chordata; Mammalia; Primates; Hominidae
Description: non-protein coding lnc-TCF7L1-1:3
Source: RNAcentral
CCACAAAGGCACCAACCACUCCCCUUUGCAGGUGUGAAGCAGCAGCUGGGGACAGUUCAGCCCGGCUUAGGCAUGACCUCUGUUUUCAUCUGCCUGCGAGGCACCAAGGAGGACCUGCAUCUGCCGUCCACCAACUACUAUGUUUACUAUGACACGGACAUGGACCAGGCACCACACUCUUGUCACACGCAGGAUGGAGCGCUACAUCUCCAUGCCCAGGGAAGAGGCUGCGGAACACAUCCCUCUUCUCUUCUUCGCUUUCCCAUCAGCCAAGGAUCCGACCUGGGAGGACCGAUUCCCCAGGCCGGUCCACCAUGAUCAUGCUCAUACCCAGCACCUACGAGUGGUUUGAGGAGUGGCAGGUGGAACUGAAGGGAAAGUAGGGCAGUGACUAUGAGACCUUCAAAAACUUCUUUGUGGAAGCCUCUAUGUCAGUGGUCCUGAAACUGUUCCCACAGCUGGAGGGGAAGGUAGGGGGUAAAGUAUUUGGGGUGGUGACGGACCUCAUGGUGCUAUUUCUGCCAGGUGGAGAGUGUGACUGCAGGAUCCCCACUCACCAACCAGUUCUGGCCUCCUAGGCCAGGGUAUCUUCACCUGUGGACUGGUAGGGGCCCUGCAAGGUGCCCUGCUGUGCAGCAGCGCCAUCCUGAAGUGGAACUUGUACUCAGACCUUAAGGAUCUUGUCUCUAGGAUCUGGGCACAGA